AACUGAUACUACCUGCGGGAACCUGCGGAGGGAUCAUUAAUGAGAAACUGCCCCUCGCGGGUAGAUCUCCCACCCUUUGUAAACUUACCUUUGUUGCUUUGGCAGGCCCGUCUCCGGACCGCCGGCUUCGGCUGGCCAGUGCCUGCCAGAGGAUUCUAAAACUCUGUCUGUCAGUGUUGUCUGAGUCUAUAUACAAUCGUUAAAACUUUUAACAAUGGAUCUCUAGAUCGGAAGAGCACA
Molecule: unclassified non-coding RNA, 240 nt
Filed under: soil metagenome
Description: partial contains 5.8S ribosomal RNA, internal transcribed spacer 2, and large subunit ribosomal RNA
Source: RNAcentral